AUAUGGUCAAGUGAAGAAGCGCAUACGGUGGAUGCCUUGGCAGUCAGAGGCGAUGAAAGACGUGGUAGCCUGCGAAAAGCUUCGGGGAGUCGGCAAACAGACUUUGAUCCGGAGAUGUCUGAAUGGGGGAACCCAGCCAUCAUAAGAUGGUUAUCUUGUACUGAAUACAUAGGUGCAAGAGGCGAACCAGGGGAACUGAAACAUCUAAGUACCCUGAGGAAAAGAAAUCAACCGAGAUUCCCUUAGUAGUGGCGAGCGAACGGGGACUAGCCCUUAAGUGGCUUUGAGAUUAGCGGAACGCUCUGGAAAGUGCGGCCAUAGUGGGUGAUAGCCCUGUACGCGAAAAUCUCUUAGUCAUGAAAUCGAGUAGGACGGAGCACGAGAAACUUUGUCUGAAUAUGGGGGGACCAUCCUCCAAGGCUAAAUACUACUGACUGACCGAUAGUGAACUAGUACCGUGAGGGAAAGGCGAAAAGAACCCCGGAGAGGGGAGUGAAAUAGAUCCUGAAACCGUAUGCGUACAAGCAGUGGGAGCCCACUUUGUUGGGUGACUGCGUACCUUUUGUAUAAUGGGUCAGCGACUUAUUUUCAGUGGCGAGCUUAACCGAAUAGGGGAGGCGUAGCGAAAGCGAGUCUUAAUAGGGCGUCUAGUCGCUGGGAAUAGACCCGAAACCGGGCGAUCUAUCCAUGGGCAGGUUGAAGGUUGGGUAACACUAACUGGAGGACCGAACCGACUACCGUUGAAAAGUUAGCGGAUGACCUGUGGAUCGGAGUGAAAGGCUAAUCAAGCUCGGAGAUAGCUGGUUCUCCUCGAAAGCUAUUUAGGUAGCGCCUCAUGUAUCACUGUAGGGGGUAGAGCACUGUUUCGGCUAGGGGGUCAUCCCGACUUACCAAACCGAUGCAAACUCCGAAUACCUACAAGUGCCGAGCAUGGGAGACACACGGCGGGUGCUAACGUCCGUCGUGAAAAGGGAAACAACCCAGACCGUCAGCUAAGGUCCCAAAGUUAUGGUUAAGUGGGAAACGAUGUGGGAAGGCUUAGACAGCUAGGAGGUUGGCUUAGAAGCAGCCACCCUUUAAAGAAAGCGUAAUAGCUCACUAGUCGAGUCGGCCUGCGCGGAAGAUGUAACGGGGCUCAAACCAUACACCGAAGCUACGGGUAUCACGUAAGUGAUGCGGUAGAGGAGCGUUCUGUAAGCCUGUGAAGGUGAGUUGAGAAGCUUGCUGGAGGUAUCAGAAGUGCGAAUGCUGACAUGAGUAACGAUAAUGGGUGUGAAAAACACCCACGCCGAAAGACCAAGGUUUCCUGCGCAACGUUAAUCGACGCAGGGUUAGUCGGUCCCUAAGGCGAGGCUGAAAAGCGUAGUCGAUGGAAAACAGGUUAAUAUUCCUGUACUUCUGGUUAUUGCGAUGGAGGGACGGAGAAGGCUAGGCCAGCUUGGCGUUGGUUGUCCAAGUUUAAGGUGGUAGGCUGGAAUCUUAGGUAAAUCCGGGAUUCUAAGGCCGAGAGCUGAUGACGAGUUAACUUUUAGUUAACGAAGUGGUUGAUGCCAUGCUUCCAAGAAAAGCUUCUAAGCUUCAGGUAACCAGGAACCGUACCCCAAACCGACACAGGUGGUUGGGUAGAGAAUACCAAGGCGCUUGAGAGAACUCGGGUGAAGGAACUAGGCAAAAUGGCACCGUAACUUCGGGAGAAGGUGCGCCGGUGAGGGUGAAGGACUUGCUCCGUAAGCCCAUGCCGGUCGAAGAUACCAGGCCGCUGCGACUGUUUAUUAAAAACACAGCACUCUGCAAACACGAAAGUGGACGUAUAGGGUGUGACGCCUGCCCGGUGCCGGAAGGUUAAUUGAUGGGGUUAGCUAACGCGAAGCUCUUGAUCGAAGCCCCGGUAAACGGCGGCCGUAACUAUAACGGUCCUAAGGUAGCGAAAUUCCUUGUCGGGUAAGUUCCGACCUGCACGAAUGGCGUAACGAUGGCGGCGCUGUCUCCACCCGAGACUCAGUGAAAUUGAAAUCGCUGUGAAGAUGCAGUGUAUCCGCGGCUAGACGGAAAGACCCCGUGAACCUUUACUAUAGCUUUGCACUGGACUUUGAAUUUGCUUGUGUAGGAUAGGUGGGAGGCUUUGAAGCGUGGACGCCAGUCUGCGUGGAGCCAACCUUGAAAUACCACCCUGGCAACUUUGAGGUUCUAACUCAGGUCCGUUAUCCGGAUCGAGGACAGUGUAUGGUGGGUAGUUUGACUGGGGCGG
This 2248-nucleotide ribosomal RNA is filed under the name Pseudomonas marginalis. Its description in RNAcentral is "bacterial LSU rRNA". It matches the Rfam family "Bacterial large subunit ribosomal RNA", at positions 1 to 2282 of the family's 2925-position model. Lineage: Bacteria; Pseudomonadati; Pseudomonadota; Gammaproteobacteria; Pseudomonadales; Pseudomonadaceae. The record is from RNAcentral.